AUGACUGCGGAUGCUGCAACGCAGCAUCACUCGAUAGCCCGUGCUGCAACCGCACGAUGCCGUCGCCGGUGGGCGCUGCAAAGCAACGAAUGUAGAUGUUCUGAUCGACCACGAACUAUGGAUCGAUCAACAAACUAUCAGCUUAAAAAAAAUCGAUGUGCCAUUGGACGAACCUAUCUACGAGUCUCCCACGUCCCUGUGCAUCUUCGACGUCAAGGACACGGUAGACGAGCAAUAUCCACGUCCAGGCAACAGCCAUGCCUAUGA
Molecule: ribosomal RNA, 267 nt
Filed under: Triticum aestivum (bread wheat)
Lineage: Eukaryota; Viridiplantae; Streptophyta; Magnoliopsida; Poales; Poaceae
Description: partial small subunit ribosomal RNA
Source: RNAcentral